This 119-nucleotide ribosomal RNA is filed under the name Triticum aestivum (bread wheat). Lineage: Eukaryota; Viridiplantae; Streptophyta; Magnoliopsida; Poales; Poaceae. The record is from RNAcentral. RNAcentral also lists the same sequence under 1 other name.
GGAUGCGAUCAUACCAGCACUAAAGCAUCGGAUCCCAUCAGAACUCCGAAGUUAAGCGUGCUUGGGCGAGGGUAGUACUAGGAUGGGUGACCUCCUGGGAAGUCCUCGUGUUGCAUUCC